GAGAGGAGAAAAAACGUAAAUGCUUCAUUGAGCUCAAAGUCUUCGCCCUUUCUUAAUUACGUAGUGUCCAGCGUCUUUUUUUCUUUCCUCAAAGGCUUGGGUAGCGGUAAUUAGCCUGGGGAGGAUAAAACCAGGCGCCUGGAGAAGACUGGUGCAUUCUGGAGCGAGAUGGCUAACAGGCAGGUCGCAUUCCUCCUCCAUGGACUCCUCUUCCUUGCACUGUAUCAACCCUCACUUCAAGGAGGUGUGUAUGUCCCUCCAGGCGGAGCUGCAGUAGGAGGUGGUCUAUACCCAGGUGGAUUUGCUGGCCCUGGUACAGGAGCAGGAGUUGGUGCAAAACCUGCUAAACCAGGU
Megalops cyprinoides (Indo-Pacific tarpon) is the source of this 354-nucleotide long non-coding RNA. RefSeq lists it as uncharacterized. The transcript is spliced from 4 exons. The record is from RefSeq and is a predicted model, not a curated record. Lineage: Eukaryota; Metazoa; Chordata; Actinopteri; Elopiformes; Megalopidae.